Long non-coding RNA from Cyprinus carpio (common carp), 319 nucleotides. The record is from Ensembl. Lineage: Eukaryota; Metazoa; Chordata; Actinopteri; Cypriniformes; Cyprinidae.
GUUGCAUCAAGCCUGUGCAAACUACAAACAACAGAACAGUUGCUCACAUUUCUUUUGUUCACAAAGGUCUUUUUGUUCCUCUAAAUGUAAGGAAAUGCUUAAAUUGUCUCCGCCUACUGUAGUAGGUCUCACAUUUUUUCCUUAUACAGAAGAUAACUCCUCUUCUUUGAGGCUCAUGCAUUCUACUGUAUGGAGGUCUUUGAGCCCAUUCUGGUGCAUCAGAAUAAGACGUGGGAUGAAGCCCUGAACUACUGCAGACAGAACUACAUUGACCUGGUGAGUCUAAGAUCUUAGAUGAAUAUGGAAGAGGUGAUAAAAC